This is a long non-coding RNA of Labeo rohita (rohu), 650 nucleotides long. RefSeq lists it as uncharacterized. The transcript is spliced from 3 exons. NCBI's taxonomy places the organism in Eukaryota, Metazoa, Chordata, Actinopteri, Cypriniformes, Cyprinidae. The record is from RefSeq and is a predicted model, not a curated record.
CUGUUGUUGUGGAUGGUGGUGUUACAGUAGAAGUGGAAGUUGUUGUAGGAGUUGUGGUUGACACUGUAGUAGUUCUAGAACUACCAGUAGAUGUUUCUGUUGUUGUAGAUGGUGGUGUUACAGUAGUAGUUGUAGUUGUUGUAGGAGUUGUGGUUGACACUGUAGUAGUUGUAAAGCUAGCAGUAGAUGUUCCUGUUGUUGUAGAUGAUGAAGUUACAGUAGUUGUGGUUGACACUGUAGUAGUUGUAAAGCUAGCAGUAGAUGUUCCUGUUGUUGUAGAUGGUGGUGUUACAGUAGUAGUUGUAGUUGUUGUAGGAGUUGUGGUUGACACUGUAGUAGUUGUAAAGCUAGCAGUAGAUGUUCCUGUUGUUGUAGAUGGUGGUGUUACAGUAGUAGUUGUUGUAGUAGUUGUGGUUGACACUGUAGUAGUUGUAAAGCUAGCAGUAGAUGUUCCUGUUGUUGUAGAUGGUGGUGUUACAGUAGUAGUUGUUGUAGGAGUUGUGGUUGACACUGUAGUAGUUGUAAAGCUAGCAGUAGAUGUUCCUGUUGUUGUAGAUGGUGGUGUUACAGUAGUAGUGGUAGUUGUUGUAGGAGUUGUGGUUGACACUGUAGUAGUUGUAAAGCUAGCAGUAGAUGUUCCUGUUGUUGUA